This is a long non-coding RNA of Alosa sapidissima (American shad), 273 nucleotides long. RefSeq lists it as uncharacterized. The transcript has 2 exons. Lineage: Eukaryota; Metazoa; Chordata; Actinopteri; Clupeiformes; Clupeidae. The record is from RefSeq and is a predicted model, not a curated record.
UUUCAUUUUUUUUAACUAUUGUAUUGUUUUUAUUUGUAAGUCGCUUUGGAAAAAAGGGGCUCCGUUUUAGUGCUAAUAUGAAUAUCUUUAUCUCUCUCUCUCUCUCAAAAGACAGACCUGGAGAAGGCUAUAAAAACUCUGGCUGAUCCCUUCAACAAGUGCAGGGAACGGGACACACACAGUUUUUUGGAGCGAAACGGAGAGACAAGCGGACAAGACUUCGAGCGCUUCUGGGUUCUGGUUAAAGAAGAGGCCGACAGAAUCUACAAAACU